GUGGGGAAUCUUGCGCAAUGGGCGAAAGCCUGACGCAGCCAUGCCGCGUGAAUGAUGAAGGUCUUAGGAUUGUAAAAUUCUUUCACCGGGGACGAUAAUGACGGUACCCGGAGAAGAAGCUCCGGCUAACUUCGUGCCAGCAGCCGCGGUAAUACGAAGGGGGCUAGCGUUGCUCGGAAUUACUGGGCGUAAAGGGCGCGUAGGCGGACAGCUUAGUCAGAGGUGAAAGCCCAGGGCUCAACCUUGGAAUUGCCUUUGAUACUGGCUGUCUUGAGUUUGGGAGAGGUGAGUGGAAAUCCGAGUGUAGAGGUGAAAUUCGUAGAUAUUCGGAAGAACACCAGUGGCGAAGGCGACUCACUGGCCCAAUACUGACGCUGAGGCGCGAAAGCGUGGGGAGCAAACAGGAUUAGAUACCCUGGUAGUCC
RNAcentral lists this ribosomal RNA (425 nucleotides) under uncultured bacterium. RNAcentral's name for it is "partial 16S ribosomal RNA". It matches the Rfam family "Bacterial small subunit ribosomal RNA", at positions 354 to 796 of the family's 1533-position model. The record is from RNAcentral.